UUAAGAGCUUUACAAAAUCCAGACCCGAGCUUCUGACAGAAAUUCAGAGGAGCUGCUAUCUGUGAAGUGGUAUCUGCUGGGAAAACAUCAAAGGAAGAAUGUGAAAGGAAGAAAGUGAAAAAUGUUUCACACCUGAUUCUGGAGUCAGAAGACUACCUGAUUACCCAGCAUAAUUCAUGCACAAUUUAUGCAUAAUAUAAGUUACUUCAGAAGAAGUAACAACCUAGCAGCUACUCUAUAGUUGUUGAUUGGAGGACAACAGUAGUCCAUUUCUUGUUACUGUACACAGCUAACCUUCCAGGGUCUGUGCCAUAACUUUACAUGUGAAUCUGAUAAGAUCUGCACACAACUCACAUACUGGGGAAUUUCCAUGUUAAUUUUUCAGUAUGUACAACCUAUCCUUGGUCUCUAGACCCUUAAGGGAAAUACCUUUACUGAGUUAUGAAAGACUGUUGGCAAACUUUUGA
Molecule: long non-coding RNA, 467 nt
Filed under: Anas platyrhynchos platyrhynchos (common mallard)
Lineage: Eukaryota; Metazoa; Chordata; Aves; Anseriformes; Anatidae
Description: lncRNA (ENSAPLG00000019755.1)
Source: RNAcentral